Molecule: long non-coding RNA, 939 nt
Filed under: Heterocephalus glaber (naked mole-rat)
Lineage: Eukaryota; Metazoa; Chordata; Mammalia; Rodentia; Bathyergidae
Description: lncRNA (ENSHGLG00000048273.1)
Source: RNAcentral
GCCACGUACACUUUCACUAGAAUUCAGUGGAUGCUCGAGAUGGUCUCAGGUAAAGUUUUAACCCUGAAAGAGUUCUGGAAGGAAGAUUACUACAUACUUUCCUGUAUGACAUUAAUUGAGAAAUCCUGGGCCAAUGUCUGUCUGAGGAAACGUAGAUCUGCCUGUUCACAGGAUAGAGACUUUGAAGACUGUGUAGAGGAGCUUUCAAUUGACCAACUUGAGUUACAACCAGCCCUUGGAAAUCAAUUGACAGUCUAGCAGCUUUCUUUCAGGGUGUUCCGGUUCCUGCCCACAGCACGGUGAGAUCUCGGGAGUGGCUUGGAGCCCCACCUUCAUACGGUGCUCCUCUACGUGGGUCAGCCAAUCAGUGUGAAGCUCCUCGGCUGUGUUCCAUUUCCUGCCCAUGGCACGGUAUCUCCCCAUUAAUGGUGAAAUCUUGGAAACAGCCCAGUUGCCCAUCAACAGAUGAAUGAAGAAAAUAUGGUUUUUAUAUACAAUGGAGUACUACACUUAUAAAGAACGAUACACUUGAGACAUUUUAAAGUAAAUGGAUGCACCUCGAGAACAUAAGUGAAAUAAGUUGGACACACAUGUUUAGAUUUUGCGUUGUUUCUGUGGGAUUGUAUGAUUCAAAACUUAUGUAUUCCCUCAGACUUCGUUAUGUCUAAUGGCUAAAAUGUAUUUGCUAGUCUUGAAAUAGUAGAUAAGAUCUGUAACCUCCUAAGCAAAGCAUUCUACCCCUUGUUUGUCCGGAGAACAGAAAAUUCCCGGAACUACUAUCAGUAGAACAGACCGUAACUAAAUCUGCUGAUUAUGGUCAUAGUGUCCUCACUGCGGUUAUGCUGACCAUCAACAUGUGACGAUGAGCCAAACUCUUGUUCCUUUUUUCCCGUAAACCUACAUGUAACCUACCCCUUUCAACCCCCUAUAAAAACAGCC